This 499-nucleotide ribosomal RNA is filed under the name uncultured bacterium. RNAcentral describes it as "bacterial SSU rRNA". It matches the Rfam family "Bacterial small subunit ribosomal RNA", at positions 18 to 518 of the family's 1533-position model. The record is from RNAcentral.
CCUGGCUUAGGAUGAACGCUGGCGGCGUGCCUAACACAUGCAAGUCGAGCGAGAUACACCUGAUUGAUGCUUCGGUUGAUAGACGGUGUGGAAAGCGGCGGACGGGUGAGUAACGCGUAGGCAACCUGCCCCUUACACAGGGAUAGCCAUUGGAAACGAUGAUUAAAACCUGAUGACACCUUGAGAUGACAUCUUCCCAAGGUCAAAGAUUUAUCGGUAAGGGAUGGGCCUGCGUCUGAUUAGAUAGUUGGUGAGGUAACGGCCCACCAAGUCAACGAUCAGUAGCCGACCUGAGAGGGUGAUCGGCCACAUUGGAACUGAGACACGGUCCAAACUCCUACGGGAGGCAGCAGUGGGGAAUAUUGCACAAUGGGGGAAACCCUGAUGCAGCAACGCCGCGUGAAGGAUGAAGGUCUUCGGAUUGUAAACUUCUGUCCUUGGGGAAGAUAAUGACGGUACCCAUGGAGGAAGCCCCGGCUAACUACGUGCCAGCCGCGGC